Molecule: ribosomal RNA, 473 nt
Filed under: uncultured bacterium
Lineage: Bacteria
Description: bacterial SSU rRNA
Rfam family: Bacterial small subunit ribosomal RNA
Source: RNAcentral
ACUCCUACGGGAGGCAGCAGUAGGGAAUCUUCCACAAUGGACGCAAGUCUGAUGGAGCAACGCCGCGUGAGUGAAGAAGGGUUUCGGCUCGUAAAGCUCUGUUGUUAAAGAAGAACGUGGGUGAGAGUAACUGUCACCAGUGACGGUAUUUAACCAGAAAGCCACGGCUAACUACGUGCCAGCAGCCGCGGUAAUACGUAGGUGGCAAGCGUUAUCCGGAUUUAUUGGGCGUAAAAGCGAGCGCAGGCGGUCUUUUAAGUCUAAUGUGAAAGCCUUCGGCUCAACCGAAGAAGUGCAUUGGAAACUGGGAGACUUGAGUGCAGAAGAGGACAGUGGAACUCCAUGUGUAGCGGUGAAAUGCGUAGAUAUAUGGAAGAACACCAGUGGCGAAGGCGGCUGUCUGGUCUGUAACUGACGCUGAGGCUCGAAAGCAUGGGUAGCGAACAGGAUUAGAUACCCCUGGUAGGAUAGCG